Molecule: non-coding RNA, 20871 nt
Organism: Xyrichtys novacula (pearly razorfish)
Lineage: Eukaryota; Metazoa; Chordata; Actinopteri; Labriformes; Labridae
Source: the annotation of a GenBank genome assembly
UUCUCUCUCUCUCCUGCUACUCUCUUUUUCUCUCUCUCGCACUGCUCCUCCAGCUGCUGCAGCUGCACCAGCACCACUGUUUGUUUCUGAAAGUGGUUAAUUACAACUAAUUUUUAGUUGGCCCAUAUUUUUUUUUAUACUUAUACAGAUAUGUCUUUAUACUAGCAAGCAGCCUGUUGGCAACUAGCUAAGCUUAAGACUUCACGUGUAGCAUCAAGACAACCCUGUGUGUGAAACUCAAAUACAUUUAGAUCUAUAGAUAUAUUCUGAUCUGAUCUGAUUAGCGCGUUUGGCACAUGUUUGGACACACAACCUGACAGAAUCAACACAUCUGAAACCGCAUUAAAUUAGACACCCAGUAAACAGUCACACAUGAUGAAGUUAACAAGAUAUUUAAUUUGUCCCCCUUUCUCUCUUACUCCUUUUUCUCACGCAAUUCGACUCGGACAUGUCUCUGUGUCCUUUCCCCAUCCUGAUGCUGCAGCGGCAAGGCUGAACAGAUGAUUUAUUGUAGUGAUCAGAUGAGUUAUUUACUUUGAAAGUAAAUGUACUUUAUUUUACUUUGAAAAUUUGAACAAAAAAGUAAAACAAACUUUCAAUCAAAAUAACCCGUUUAUCUAAUGUCCUCAUAUCCUUAAAAUUCUAAGAAUAUUCAUUCCGGAGUCAGGCCCACAUACGAAUAUUAUAAUAUUCAAUUUUGUGAGCCAAAUUCAUUUUAUAUGCCAACAUCUAUGAAAGAAAGCCAGGCUACCGAGCGCGAUGCAUCCUUUAUGCACAGGCGGUUCCGAUUUUAAUGCCAUGAUUGGAGUUUAUGUUGUGAUCUCUGCGCACAACCCACCUUUGUCAUGUGGGGUUUAAAUAUAUGCAACUUAAUGUGAGUGUCUUUAUUUGUGAAAACGGGUGUUUGUCUUACCAGUGGGUCCAACAUUACACACACCAAAUCCCUCAGUGCUUAUUUGAGAAAGUGUGCAGGACGCCCUCUGCAGCGCUUACAGUGACAUUUAUUGAGGGGCUGCCUUCUGUCGCCAUCAUGUUGCGUUGCUGUCUUCAGACAUCUCUUGAUCUCUUCGACUACUGCACGAAAAUUGUAAUAUGCCUCACCUGUGGCGGAUUUAAAGGUGAGGAGAGGAGCUGAUAUGAUUGGUGAAAACAGGUAUCGGCUGUGUUAAACCUACUCCAUGCCUUCUCUCCUCCCUCUCUAUGACUUAUGCUGCUGGGAGGAGCUGAGUUAGGGAGGGGUGAUACUUGAUGGUGAUACUGCACCACUCACCAAAAUACCAAAAUGUGCUUGGGCAGGCCUUAUCAGUGCGGCGGACUUGACUUACGCCAAAACUUCAACCUUUUGUGCACAUAGCAAUUCAAGACUAAGCCUUUAAUAAAUUUUUCUUUAAUUUCACAUAGUUAAUUUUUAAAUAGUUUUGAUUGGCCACUGAGCCUCUUUUUCUGAGUCAUCUGCGUGAUUUCAAAGUCACCUCUGAACGCCACCCAGAGUCAUCCUCUUUGCCAGAAUUUUGAGUGAGACCAAAGGAGCAUCCAAAAGAUACAUAAGACACUGGUUUUCCUUUUCGGGCCUGAGUGCUGCAACUCCUGGCCCAUCUUUCGGCUGACUUCGGUUGUCUUCUGAGCUAAACCUCUCGAACUGUCGGUAGGCCCAGACCUUCGGAACCUGCUCCAUCUUCUCCAAGGACCGGUCUCACUAAAGUAUGCAAACCUCCAGAGCUCCAAACAGGGCUGAUGCUGUCUCAUACAUUCAUGAUUGAAAUAAUAAUUUUCUUUAUAAUCCUAAAUUCAUCCAAAUCCACAUCGAAAUUCAUCUUGACACUAAAAUUAGUGUAGGUUAAUAUGUUAGCGCAUAUUCACUCACUAUCAUUAACUUUAGUGCUCCGAGCCUGACUCAAAGUCUUUUAUUAUUCACCUAUUAUUAUUUAUCCUCACUAUCUGUCAUCAUUUUUUGCAUGUAUGUUGUAACAUCAUUUAUCCUGUAACAAACAGAUCAUUAUUUUUCUAAGUUCUUGUCUGUUAGUGUUCUUCCAGAAGUGGAGUCCCUGAAAUUAGAAUUUUGGCUUGAGAUAUGAGACUGAUUAACUAAAACUGUCUUGAUGUUUGAUUUCUGAAUUAAACUUUUUUUUUUUUUUUCUUCCCACCAUUAAGUGUGGGUGGUGCCCCUUUCAAUGAGUGCAUAAACGUCAUAAUUUAAGAUAAAUAAUCUUCAGUCAUUUAUUAUAAAUUCAAAUCACUACACACAUGAGCAUACAGACAUUAGCAGCAGCAGUCUGGAAUGGACUACGUUAACUAGACUUGGCUUUUGCAGAACAAGCAAACUGGUUUCACCUUUGGGGAAAAAAGUAAUCAACAGCUGCUUCCCCUUAUUCAGCUGUCUUUCUUUUUCUUCCCUCCCUUUCUUCUUUUGAUACUCAGAUGUAUGCAUUUUGGGGUCCACGAUGUCUUCCCCCAGGUCACAGUCUGGGCCCACUGACAUUGCAUUUGUUGCCGGUCGCUGUCAGGCAGACUAAAUCAUAAUGAAAAACAGGCGAGAUGCUUUCAGUGACACAGUUUAAUGACUUUUAUGUUUUUCAUCCACAAUCAAAAACCCAUAAUUGAAAAGCUCACAACAACAUGUUGAUCUGAGAAAAGUCUAGUUAUAGAUGUCUUUACAAACACACUGAUCCAACAGAAGCAGACAGAAAUAUCCAUCGAUGACAUGAAUACAAAUAUUCAGCGAACAGAGAAAGCACAGAUCAUUUGAUGUGUUUUGGGGAAGACUGGAAGGACUUUUGACAGUUGGAUUUGGGCCAGGAAAUAAGGUUGUGCUCUUUCAUCUUUCUGUUAUUUUGAUGUCACUUUUUUUCUAAAGUCUCAGACCUUCAAAAUUUACACCAACUGAAGGUGAUUUGAACAAAUGAUCAUCUUGAAGAAAUUUUAAAAUGUGAAAUUCAAACAAUCAAAGUUAUCCACAAUCACUGUCCUUAUAACUGCGUCCAAAUUAGCAUCUUUAGAAAAGAAUAAAAAAGCUGAAAUGAAGAACUAAACCGAUAGUUUCUGGUGUGACUGAUCCACAAACAUUUACAAACCAGAACAUUUUAAGAGUUCAAUGGUCACAGUUACAUGCUGUUGGUCUGAUUGACUCAAAAUGUUCUUUAUUUCAGUUCAAUAAACUCAGCAGAGCCUUCAUUAUACCAGGGUGACAGUCCAGCAUGUAGCGGCUCAGUGAAUGUGGUCUUAACUCUGUGGAGGAGAGUCAUGGUUUCAGAGACGCUGUAGAAGGACAGAAUACCUGCUCUGUGAUCCAGGUACACUCCUACUCUUGAGGACUGAGGACCUGUGAUAGGAGUGAUGUCUUUGUUGUGCACAAAUUCAUACCUGUCUUUAUAACAGCACAAUCUCCAAGAUUUGUCGUUGUUUCCAAAUACACAGUUCUCUAAGUUUCCUGCUCUUCUGAUAUUCUUGUAUGCGACUGCUACAUAAACCCCGUCCCCUCUCCAGUCCACCUCCCAGUAACAACGUCCAGUCAGACUCUCUCUACUCAGGACCUGAAAAUUACCAGUGAAUCUGUCUGGGUGAUCAGUAUAAGACUGUUUUUGUUUGGUUGAUGUUGCUUUUCUGUUUCCUUUAGAUAAUGACAGCCGUCUGUUCGCUGUGUUUGGAUCCAGUGUGAUUCUUUGCGAAUAUCUUAGGAAACCAGCUCUGGUCUUUGGUUCUGGUUCUGGUUCUGGUGGUUCUAACAGUAAAACAUCCACUUCAGUCACUGCCUGUGAGAUGUUUGUCCAUGUCUCUGUAAGAAGAUCCUGGAGUUUCUCUCUGAGCUCUGACAAAGCUGCUGUCACCUCCUCAAAGUAUCUUAGAGGACAGAUGUUGAUUCUGGAUGAGUCUGCAGGUUGACCUGGUCCUGACAGUGAGGGGUAGCUGUACAGAAACUGGUUGUGGUCUUCUGUGAGAAAGAGCUUCUGCAGAUCAGCAUCUUUCCUCUUAAGCUCAGUGAUCUCCUGCUCCAACUUCCCCUGAAGCUCUUUGACUCGACUCACUUCACGUUCCUGCUGGGAUCUGACCUCCUGCUCCAUGUCAGAGCCGCAUUUCUCCAUGAGACGGAUCAGCUGACUGAAGAUCUUCUGGCUGUGCUCCACAGCUUUAUCAGCAGAGCCGUUGAUAGCCUCCACCUCCUGUUGGAGCAGCUUCACAUCUUCCUCUCUGUCCUGGAUUCUCUGCUGGAUGUUUUCUCGACUCUCCUCCAGAUCUUUCUGCCUCUCAGCUCUUUCUGCUGCAGCUGAGACUGUGUCGUGGCCUUUGUGUUGUUCCACAGAGCAGAGAUAACAGAUAGACUGUUGAUCAGUGCGGCAGAACAUCUUCAUCACCUCAUCAUGACUAGAGCAGAUGUUCUCCUGGAGCUUCUUGGAGGGCUCCACCAGCUUGUGUUUCUUUAAUGGAGCGACUUCAAAAUGAGGCUGGAGGUGAAUCUGGCAGUAAGAAGCCAGACAUUGCAGACAGGACUUGACAGCUUUCAGUUUUCUCCCACUGCAGAAAUCACAAGCCACAUCUUCAGGUCUAGCAUCAGAGAGAUCAUCAGGAGCCGCUUGGAGUCCGCUCUUCUUCAGUUCUUCCACUAAACCUGCUAACAUGGUGUUUUUCAUCAGUACAGGCCUCGGUGCAAAGGUCCGUCUGCACUGAGGACAGCUGUAGAUCCUCUUCUCAUCCUCAGUAUCCCAGUGGGAUUGAAUACAGCUCAUGCAGAAGCUGUGUCCACAGGUAACAGUCACCGGAUCCUUCAAUAGAUCCAAACAGAUGGAACAAGAGAAAGAUUCCUGGUCCAGCUGAACCCCUUUCUGCGCCAUUUCAACACUCACUGUCGACAGUGACUGACUGAGUUUCUCCUCCUGAGAAGUCAAACUAGUCUGGGCUCUGAUCUCAAGUCAGCUCAGUAUAUGCCGGUUACACCCAUCCUCAGACUGUACACCUGAUCAGAUGUGGGAGGGGAAAUCCAGUUUUUCUACAAUCCAGGUGGAGGAGCGGCAUUGUGAACUCUAGACAUUCAAACUUCAACAAGCAGAGGUUAUUCAAGCUGCAGCUUCACUAAAUGCACCAACAGUUAUUUACCUCAAAUAAUCCUCAUCACAGAAACACUUCCACUGUUUUAUCCUGAUAUCCGAACAUAUUUAAAUAUACACCACAUAUAAACACUCUCUUUCUCUCUCUCUCUCUCUCUCUCUCUCUUUCUUUCUCGCUGGCUAGUUGACCUCUGAGGGAGCAUUAGUUUUUCUGACUGGGGAAUCCCACUGGAUCUAGAAUGGCUCAACGCAUCAGGUGGCAUGUAGAGGAAGCCUCAGAGCUGAAACUACAGCAGAGGAGAUGGUGGGGAAUUUUUUUUUUUUUUGGCGCUCCUAUGUUUACUUUAAUUGGACUUUGCAGAACAAGUAAACUGGGUUCACCUUAAGGAAAGAAAGCAGUGAACAUCUGCCUCCCCUCAUUCUGCCAUCUUACUUAUUCUUCCUUCCCUUUCUUCUUUUGAUACACAGAUUUAUGCUUUUUGGGGAGCAUGAUGUCUAGCCCCCAGGUCACAGUCUGGGCUCACUGACAUUACACUUGUCACCAGUCACUGUCAGGCAGACUAAACCCUAAACAAAAACACGUGAGGUGCUUUCUGUAACAGUUUGAUGAUUUUUAUAUUUUUCACCCACAUUUAGAAUCUCGCAACUGAAAAGCUCACAACAUGUUGAUCUGAAAAAACUGUCAUUAUAGAUGUCUUAACAAACACACUGAUCCAACAGAAGCAGACAGAAAUAUCCAUUGAUGACAUGAAUACAAAUAUUCAGCACACAGAGAAAGCACAGAUCAUUUGAUGUGUUUUUGGGGCAGACUGGAAAGACUUUCGACGAUUGGAUUCGGGAUAGGAAAUAAGGUUGUGCCUUUUCAUCUUUCUAGCGCUAUUUUGACGUCACUUUUAUUCUCAGUCUCUUCAACAUCUGCACCAACUGGAGGGGAUUUGAACAAAUUAUCAUCUUGAUGUUGUUGCUAUCAAACUUUAGUGUAAAUUUUUUGAAAUGAGAAAUUCAAACAAUCAGUUAUCCACAAUCACUGUCCUUAAAGCUGCGUUCAAAUUAGCAUCUUUAGAAAAGAAUAAAAAAGCUGAAAUUAAAAACUAAUCUAAGAGUUUCUGGUGUGACUGAUCCACAAACAUUUACAAACCAGAACAUUUCAAGAGUUCAAUAAUCUUAUUUACAUGUUUUUGGUCUGAUGGACUCAAAACUCUGUUUUAGUUGAAUAAACUUAGCAGAGUCUCCAUAACUGUAGCCUAACCCCAGUCCAACGUGUAGCGGCUCAGUGAAUGUGGUCUGGACUCUGUGGAGGAGAGUCAUGGUUUCAGAGACGUUGUAGAAGGACAGAAUACCUGCUCUGUGAUCCAGGUACACUCCUACUCUGAAAGAUCGAAGACCUGUGACAGGAGUGAUGACUUUGUUUUGUACAAAUUCAUUCUCUGUUUACCCCUCUCAUAAUCCUUUCUCAAAUCUGUGUCUCCUCUUUGUCUGCCGUCCAGAAAGUUGAUCUUCUGCAGUGUUCCCAGCUGAGCCAUGUGGUCUCUCACAGAUGUCAGGUCUAGAUUAUCCUAAACGAGAGGAUUCGGGAGCUCAAUCUGGUGUAAUUUGAGGGUUGAUAACUGAUAUCACCUCUGAAAAUAGGGAAUGUCUGCACUGUAAGAGGGACUGCAAAGGCCAACUUUAAUUGGCCUUUGCAUAACAAGAAAACUAGGAUCACCUUUGGGAAAGAAAUCAGUCAACAGCUGCCUCCCUUCAUGCUGCUGUCUUUCUUUUUUUCUCCCUCUCUUUCUUCUUUUAAAACCAAGAUUUAUGCUUUUUGGCUAGCAUGAUGUCUAACCCCCCAGUCAUUCAGUCUGGGCUCACUCACUGGUGUUACACUUAUCGCCAGUCACUGGUGGGCGGACUAAACCAUUUUGCGCCUCCAAGAGAGGGCCCCCAGAAUGUCUAGUAUGUUGGGAGGACUAUGACAUAUAGUUCAUUCUCUCAGUUGAUGUUAUUAAUGUAUUUGAAAUAAAUUAUGACCCCAAUAUAUAGUAGGGUCUGAUUCAUUCGAAAGGAUUUUUAUGGGCCCCUUCUCCCUCCUUGGGCCCUGGGUAGUCAGGUCCAUUUUUCCCCUGCCACGCCCAUGCUCUAAGAUACUGCAGUCCAUUGUUGAGGAGUUUCAGUUGAGUCGGUCCUUCUAUCAAGUGGGUAGUUUGACAUCUAUGUGUUGUGGGAGUAUUGCAGGGUUCUCGCUCAAACAAUCACAAUAAAGUGGAAAACACAGCAGAGUCAGACAAACGCAGGGAUAGGGAUGUUUAUUUACAGCUGGUCCAAAUAAAAAAAAUAAAAUAAAAAAGAAAGAAAGAAAGAGAGGCAAGAAUUCUGCAAAAACUCAAGGACUAUUAAAAAGCAAUACAAAUGUCAGUUUGUCAGUUAUCUCCAUAGCCCCUCCCACUGUGCAUUAUUAACUACAUAAUCUUGGGGAAAACACAUUUUAUUCAUGUUUAAACUUUGUCAACCCCUUUAAGUCUUUAGAUCUUUUACUGUAAGUUUUUACCAUUUUAACAAGGUUUUUACUCAAAUCAAUAGAGCAUAAAUGUAUUAUGGCAUUUAAGUUCUUCAAAGAUGUUCAGUUAUCCAAAGUUUUUAUGUAAACCGUGUUUAGAAAAUUUUUGCUGUUGCUUUUGUAGUUUGGGCUUUUUUUUUCAUAGAGCUGGUUGCUUGUUUCUCUCAGGAGAUCUGGCAACACUGCAAGGGAUUAUUUUCUCCUGCGUCAUGUGACCACUUUUGCCCACCAUACCUACCUAUUUACCACACGGCAAUCAUGUCCUCUGUUUCCUCACUUAGAAACAUGAGCCGGCAUGAUGGCGUGAAUGGACGCACCUUGGGCGGGUAAGAAGAAGAAUGACUCUCUGUGUAAAUGUAUAUUUAAGUUAAAAGAUAGCGCUCCGAGUGUGCACCCUCGGUUACACUAGUGACAAUGUUUACCGGGUAAUUAGAAAUGCUGACGGGGGAGGAAAAUGUUUGGCGCUUCUCUGUGCGCUCCCCCCGGAGUCAGUAAAGACGCCGCUCCGUCACAGGGAGCCAUUGUGAAGUGUAGACAAGGAGGACAUUCUCAAAAGCCCUUUUCAUGUUGCAAGCUUGAGGUGCAAUAUUUCGCACCUGUAGAGUCAUACCUUCAACAUAAAUGUCACUGAGGCAUAAAAGUGGGACCAAGCUGUCCCGCUGUGGCACUGAAUAGAAAGAAACAGAGGCAGUUCAGGGGGAGAAAUAGGACCACCAUGAGCUGGUAUAGAAGGUAGUGGUCGAGAGAGGCACAAGUCAAAGUCACUUUUCAAGUCAUUUGGAGGCAGCGGAAAGUCCGUGCUGGCACACAAUUCCAACAAUUAUUACCAUAAAAAGUAUAUUUAUUUUGCGCUAGGGUUGUCAAAUUUGGGGAAUUCUCAAAGUUGGAAACUUUCCACAGGAAUUAACAGGAAUAAAUCUGAAAUUUACAAAAAUUGAAGGUUGGCCCUCAACAGGGAACUUAAAUAUAGUUGAGGAAAAUAUGUUGCAGCAUAAUCUCGACUAAAACAACCAGAUUUAAUGCAGGUACACUCCUCAAUCACAUGCACACAGCACAAUGCUUACUGCAGGGCUAUUGAGGCCACAACACCUACAUGCACUGUGCAUUCCUCCAUCACAUGUACAGAUGAUUUCUUGAACCCUAGAGGCCACACUUCUGAGCCCAGAGCACAAGACAUUUGAGUCCACAGACUAUUUUAAGUCAAGUAAGUUCUGAUAAUAUUAUGGAGUAAAUACAUUUGAUCUAUAAUAGUAAAAAUAACAAUAAGUGCUAACUGUAAGCUAUUUUUUCAUUUCAUUGACCAUCGAAGGGACUAGCUUAUUAUGGUGGUGGUAGCUACCUCAAAUGUGAUGCUGUUCCUUCUGACUCCAGCAAGACAGUUUUCUGAAACCAUACAAUAAUUUAUACAUCAAUUGUCAAAUAUUUUAAAGACCAUUCCAGUUGUUUAGCCAAUUAUAUUUCUGUUCAUGCCAUUGCAUUAGUGAUUUUACAAGCUUGUUUGUUAUUUUAUUCUAAAGAAAAAUGUCACGUUCGCCAUCUGAUGUGUGUCAUGUUUUUAAAUUAUAUUAUUUUGCAUGGAUGUCUGCUUAUGACCAAAACAAAAAUGUUUACAUUUAUGUUUGGAUAUGAUACAGUUUGUUUAAAUGACCCCCAGUUUCCAGGUAAUUCCCAUAAAUUCCAAAUUGGAAAGUUUCCAAUUUGGAAUAUUUCCAAAAUUCCAGGGCUGAACUUCCCAUGAAAAAAUUCUGGUAAUUUUCUGCCCCUUUGCAACCCUAUCUAGCACCCAUUCUUUUGGCCAAUGGUUUCACCCAGAGCUACUCCAGUUAGUUAAAUUGUUCCACUGCUGAACUAGAGCAAGGACAGAGAGAUUAUGUAGCUCCCGGCUCCUCUGGAUGACAUAAUCAGACCAACCACGUACGAACGGAGAGGAAGUAAUUAUUAAUGUUGUGUCAUACCAGCAGGACAGAGUACGCUAGUGAGAAUAGAUCCUUGGUGUAGUCCACCAAAGACUAAUAACACCACUGGCUUUUCUUUUGUGCAGCUGUUUUGUGAUGAUAUCCACACUACUGCAUCUAUAGAAUCUGUUGGAGGUAAUCACACUGCUUCCUUGUAUUUGUCACUGUAGCUACAGGAUAUUUACACCAAUUCCCUCUGUAGACUCUAUCACAGGUUAUAACAGAGACAGACUAAGUUUUGCAUGCAGGCCAUGGACAGACGACUCACGCUUACAACAGUGAGUUCAGCCAGAGGUCAACACUAAGUACAGUGCUCAUUCAUUUGUAAAUGGGAGCCAAGGUUGAUGCACAGUGACACCUUUGCCAGUCAAGCUCAGUGUUGAUCCUCCAUGGAUGCUAUCAGACUAUAAAUGACCUAUGAUCCAUUGUUAUCACUGCCACCACAACACAACGGGUGAGAUGCGAAGUGAACAAUCAACUGUUGUAAUCAUAACGAUCACAGCAAACAAUACAUCAUGGCAUCUUAGUCACUUAGAAAAACAGUCUUUAAACCCAUUGGCUGUUAGCAUAUAUGACUGCUGGAAGAAGAGCUUACUCGGCUCCGAGCGUAGCCAGCCCUGUGUGACUAAGGACCUCUUUUUUUUCAUUUUCUUUAUGCUUUUUAAAAAUUUUUAUUUUUAUUUUUAAAUUUUAGCAGUAACCAUAUUUUUCACCCAAUAACUGGUAGAUAGAUCAAAUUGCAGCAAGUAGCCUAAAAGUCUUGAAUAUUGAUACAUUUCAACAAAAAAGCAUAAAGUGCUUCACUCUUACAGAAAACUUCAAACGUUUUCAAAGUUGAGAGCUUAAAGAAUCUAAGUAGAAAUGAAAUUUAAAACAAAACUUUUUGUUUUUUGUAAAAUCAAAGUGCUCCUUGAUGAUAUCAGACCAUCCUUGUAUAAAUCAAAGUGAGUUUCCUGUUUUAAAUAAACCGAUUGAAAAAAUGCUUCAGUAAAAUUGCUCAUAUGAUGCAAAGAAUCCAUUUGGGUUUUUGUUCUGCUCUAAAUUUAAUGCUUAAUGACGCACUUUGGAGUUUUUGAUGAUUUUGAUGACUCAGAGAGGCGCCUCACUUUAGCAUCUCAUGCAGAGCAGAACAGGGCUCUGACCGGGGUGAAAACAGGUCAUACACUGACAGGUUGACAGGAGCUGCAGCAGCAAAAUACUGUAAAAGCACCCUCUUGAACUUUUAUGUUUCUUUUUAAAGUUUGUUUUGGGGCUUUUCUGCAUUUUUUUUUUUUUUUUUUUUUUUUUUUUUUUUUGACAGGAGAGUAUUUAAAGUAGUAAAUGGGGAGACAAUGAAAUGAAAGAGCCACAGAGCCAAAAUCAAACCUGGACCCUGUUACUUCCAUUUUUAUUUUUAAUGAUAACUGAGCUCAAUGAUCAGACUUGAAUUAAAGCCAACAGUCUAACCAUAGAUUCACAGUAUGUGCUACUUUUUACAGCAACACACGACUUGAGGAUAAAUGAAGACUUAGUUUUGUUUUACAGUAGUCUGGGUACUAUGUGAUCUAUUAUUCACAAAAUAAUGCUGCAGUAAAGCUCAGAAAAAAAGCAACUUCAAUAUAUUUACUUCCAAAUAACCUAAUUUACUUUCAUACAUUCAAACAUUAAUGCAUUCAUAUGACAUACUGAAACACUGUGGUUUGGUUUUUUGAAGCUGAUACAGUAGAUUUGGGAUAUAUGUUGACGCAUCCCUCAAUCUGAAUGAAAAAAUAGAAUAUCGUUUUCUCUGUCAAAUAAGUGUGAAUUCAUAUCCUCUGUACAUACAAUACUUCUAUAUGCAUAUAUACCUGUAUCUGCAUGUUUGUCACUCCUCUAGGUAUUCUGUUUAAGUGAGUUGGCAGGGUUGCAGUGUUGAUUAAUUUACUUCUGCUGAAACAAUCUAAAAACAAUCUAAAUGUAAAUGUAACCUCUCUAUCUGUGUCUCCCAGACUAUAAUGAGAAGAGAAUUUAAAUGACCUGGUUGCUUUUUAUCCAUUUUGACGCAACACUGAAAUUUACAGAGAGAAGAAUUCUGUGUAAACAAAAAGAACUUAUGUGUUGGAAAGGAAAAAUCCUCCCAGGCUUAACAAGACUUUCACAUUAGAAAGAAGUUUGUUCAGAUUGAUGGAAUAUAACGAGAGAUUGAAAUGGUUUGGAGGCUAAUCUGCAACAAAAAUAUGUGUCUUUCAUUGGACCUGAUUUUGUUUGGAGACUUUAAAAUGAUGCUUGAGCAGCGUAGCAGCUGGCCUGUCUGUGUGCUCGACACUUGGGUGUGUGUUCAUUCACAGCUGAGUCAUAACUUUUGAAGUGAAGGCAUGUUUUUACAUCCCAAAAUGGACCACUUUUGGUCUCUCCUUUUCACACUAACAUCCUCAGUACAAACUUUACAUUCAGGUCCUCCUAUUUGUAUGUGUUCAGACUUUCACCUUAUAUAAUCAUGGUCCCAAAUUACAGCUUUGAAGGGUUUCUUCUGCACUGAAAGAUCUCUAAAGUAGACUCUAGGCUGCCAGCAGAGGUAAACCUCAAAAACUGACACCUUAAUUGUAAACCCACUUUUCUCACUUCUAUCUGUGUGUAAUUUCUGCAAAGGCAUUGGUCCGGCAGAUCUCAUAGACCUGGUCAUAUGCUGAAAAAAUAGCCAUCAAACACCAUGUAGGUAAAGACUGUAAUCUGUAAACUUUCCAACCCAAGUCCAGUUUUAUCAGGUGGCAGGAAACCUUUUAUGGGGUCUGCUAUCAAAACCUGAAAUGAUCGUAAAGUGGAAGUUUGGAAGAAACUGUCAGACACAAGCAAAACCAAACUACUUGACUUUUUUUAGAGGCUUCAUUGUGACUUCAUUUUUAUUCAUUUUUUUGUGAGAAAAAACUACAAAGCAGACCAUGCAGUAACAAAAAUAACAAAAAGAGAUUGAAAUCUUGGUCUGACAUCAACACCCCACAAAAUCCACAAAUUCCAUAUCAGUGAGAUUUAAAGAAAAGACUGGAAACACGGUUAUCUGACAGUAUGAGGCUAAACAAAUUAAAAUAACACCUAGAAAUGUGUCAUUUUACGAGUUUGUUUACUCAGUAAAUCAUUUUCAGGAAGCUGGGUCAGUCAAAUAUAAAGCGCUCACUGCUUCAUACAAAAUUCACAUACAGAACUGCUUGCUGAAAGAACUAACACGCUCCUUCUCACACAGUAAUUAUAGAUCACAUUCAGAUUUUGUGGGGAAAAAAUAGUACAGCAGCCACACAGUGUGACAAAAAUAAGAUGCUCUUUUUAGAAAAAAAAAUAAAAAAUUCAUAUGUUGUUUUAAAUUUUAUUUAAGUUUAAAUUCACUGAAUAACUUCAUUAUUAACUGAUGCAGCAGCUCAGCCACAAAUGCUCAAAAAGUGGUUUGUUCGAUUUAGGGGGGUCAUGGCACAAAAAAGUUUGGGAACUGCUGAAAUAGCUGAUCUAAAAGAAUAUAUGUAUGAUAAUAUCAAUUAUUAAGAGCCAACAUUCAAUCCAUAAAUUAUGCAUUGAUCCCCCAUCCCUGUUUGCUAUUGUUUGUCUCCAGGUGCCUAAACUGGGGCCAGUUCUUUCAGAUGAGUUCAAGCGAUCAGUAAGCAAGGAUCGUAGACAGAUACGCAAACAAUUCAUUUCAUACAGUUGGCCAGGAUGGCAUCAUUCAUUAAGAUAGCUUAUUCAAAAAUAUAGAGUGUCUAGUUAUGAGAAAUAGUAACUUUGGAGGGGGCAGCCACAAAGUUAUUAAAGGUUUUAAAUUAAAGGAUGAAAAGUAAGACAAAAAGGGCAAUUAAUAGUUGGUUGUUGACUCCUCACCAUAUUAGUUAAAAAAAUGUUAUAAUGUAAAAUGUUAAUGUUAUAUUACGGCACUGUCGAUCUCUGUUUGAGAGAGUUGUUGUUAUAAUUGUUGAGAGUCGUUAUAAAUUUAAGACCAGUUAUCCUUCAAAUUUUGCAAGAUGCUUGUUUUUAGUUCCAACUGGUCAACUUUUAACUUUAUGCAAAAAUCAAGUUUUAUAUGCAGUUUUGGAUCAGUCAAGUGUCAUUAAGUACCAAUGAGUCUUCCAGCACCAUCUAUGCAUAUCUGUUGUUUGCUUUGUACAAGGUUUAUGGUUUGUUGUUUUCUUUGUAUAGAAUUUAGACUUUUGUGCUUCUGGUUUGUAUAUUAAAUGAUUUGCCUUUAAUAAUCUAUGUGGUCAUAGUAUGAGUGAGCUACUCCUGCAGAGGUCUUGGAUGCAGACUGUAAAGUUCAGACUAAAGCGUGUAUCUGUGUUUGUGUCAUUUCCAGUCAAAGAGUUAAACUUCCUUACUGCUUCCAUCUUUAGUGUGAAUAUGUUCAGCUUCACAGUUAUGACGACAGGGAUUCAGGGUGUAAUCUGUCCAGAUUUGCACCAACUUUGAGCCAGUAUUAGCCAUUACUUUAUAAUGGACACAAAGAGGGAAAAACUAAACCUCAUUCCACUCGACUUCUUUGUUAUUUUCCACUAAAGCUGAAGUUCAACUUUCUCACUUUUUACUGCCAAACCAAGCAACCAUCUGUCUUUUCAGCAACCUCUGUGGAAAGAAAUAUUAAAUUUGAACAAAGACUUUUUGAUUAUUUAGGCCUCUUUAUUCCCCCUAUGGUGGAUUAUGGCCUGUAAGUUUUCCUCCUGAAAUGAGUCACAGAUAUAACUGUGAUUCAUGCACAGCUCUACGGACCGUUCAUUUGCAUUUGACUUUAAACUUUAAAAGAGAAAAACUUUCACUUUGUGUCAAUUUAGGCAGCCCCUGCAGACAAAGCAGGACAUUUUAUUCUAUGCUGAUUCUGUCCACUUCAUUUAUAUGUAAUAGUCUCUGAAGAGAACUCCACUCCAUUUUAUUCUAGGCUGACUGCUCACUGCUGAGAUGUCCCUGCAUGGCCUGCCUGACACACCUCCAGCAGUGCAGUUGUGCUCCUGACAGGCCUCACAGAGCACUUCUGUGGGCCGUGUCUGGUUAUCAGCUGGUAACCACCAGUCAUUAUUGUUUCACUACUUUAAUCCCAGUUCCUCUUAGAGAUGGAGCACUGGCAGAAACUCUCCUUCACCCCCCUGCUGAUACACUUGGUGCUGACUCUUAACUCCUGUGCUUCUUUUUUCAGACACAACCAGAAGCUGCAUUUCGAUGCUUGUUCAGUCAGCCCCUGGUACAAAUCUCCAGUGUCCUCCUCCUGUUUGGCAGACUGAAGGUAGGUGAGCAAACUUCUCCACACCACUUUCUCUGGUAAUAUAAAAUCUAAAUGGAUGUUCUCAUUCCAUUUUCUGGUUUGCUUUAGAAGGAUAUACAGGGAAUCACUUAAAAUUGAGACUGUUGCAAACUAACUUAAUUUACAACUCCAAAAAAAUGGUGAGGGGACAAGUAACUGUGUGUAAAAACAGGUUUUGACUGUUUUUUAGUCAUGUACAACUUCAAACUUUUCUUUUUUAUUCAAACUAGCCACAUUGUUAAGAGGAGUCUUAUCAGAAGCAUGUUUACCGUUGUAAUACUCUAUUGUUGCCCCUCAAACGGAUGCUUGGCAACCAAGGACACCAAUUUCCAGAAUUUUGUAAAAACUUUUUUUAAUUUUGAUUUUAGCUGCUCAACAGUUCAAGGUCUUCUUUGUUGUGUUUUGGUUUUAUGAUGUGCCUCAUGUUUUCAGUGGGUGACAAGUAAGGACUCCAGGCAGGUUGGUCUAAAACUCAAAGUUUUCUACUACAGAGGCCCGCUGCAUAUGCAGUAAGGUUGCACGAUAUUGGAAAAAAAAAAAAAAAACUAACAUUCCAUUUUUUUUCAACCAUGCGAUAUAUAUUACAAUAUUAAAAAAUAGAGGAAUUUUCACCAGAUGACCUGAAUAGUACUUUAUGCAAUGCUUAUCUAUGAAAUCUUGUGGACAAUUAACCUGCACUGAUCUUACCUCUUUUUGUGAAUGUUAGUAGAGUGGCGUCUGUCUGUCUGUCUUAGAGAUGUUUUAGCUUGUUUUUAUUGUGCUGGGAUGUUAUUGUGGCAACAGAUGAACACAUAACACGUGUUUCGCCGACAUCAUCCUUCCUUUAACCAAAAUAAUUCCAGAUAACUAACUUUUCUUUUCUUUUUGUCAACAAGUCUUCAUUUUAAGUGUUUUUCUCUUGUUCAUUUCCCAUUUCGCAAUUGUUGUCGUUGUUACCGGUGUCGUGCCAAGAAUUGCAUGCACCUCGCAAAACACGCACUGCUUAUAGUACAGUGGUCCACAUAAACGUACGAUUUAAAACCCAUACAGUUCUUAUUUGUUGGGCUAAACAGUGAUGAGUAAUGCUUCGAAAGUAGUUCUCGGCAGACAUGCCAUUCUCAGCACAACACUGACAGUGCCAGUGACUCGCUCAAUGUGCAGGGGCGUGGUUUCCUCCUCUCUGAUUGGCAGCUGAGUAAAGAACCAAUGUGAUUGGUGGAUCGCUGCACAGCACAUGCAGUCACAUGCAGUGUAUCUCAGUCAGCUACCCUUGAAAUUAGAUGAGUUUAUUCCCCUCCCACAACUCAGGGUCUGUCAUGUGACUAUUGCGCACAAGUACAUUGCGAUGAUGGUACUCAAACAAUAUAUCAUGCAGCCCUAUUAUGCAGGAUGUUGUAUGCAGUUGUUUUGCUGAAAUAUGUGCAGUCUUUCUUGAAAAAGGCCAUGUUGGAUGAUAGCAUGAGGCUCUACAACCUGUUUGUAUGUUUAGCACCCGAUACUUAUGCUGGCUUCUAUACUGUAUGUUGGUAAAAAGCUGACUGGUGAUGACAGUUUGCUGUGAUUUUGAGCCUUUGCAGUGAUUCCCACUACAGAGUCCACCUGAGAGCCCAGAGAUCACAGUCAUCUAGUACUGUUUUUUUUAGCUUUGUCUCUUUCGUUGAGUUUGUUGAGAUCUUGAUCUUGAUCUUUGCACUUUGUAGUGACACAGUUCUGUGUUUUGUUGUCUGUGCCUCAACCUUUUGGGACACUUCACUAGCAUUAAAAUAUCAUUUUUAAACCAAAUUUAUUUUUCAGCAAAUUUCUCAGUUUGAACUUUUGAUAUGUUUUCUUUGCACUAUUCUCAGUUGAAUUUCAGCUGUAAAUAGUUGGCAAAACAUCAAAUUUUGUCACUAAGCAUUUUCCACAACAUCUCAGCUUUUUACAGUUGGGGCCUUCAACACCCUUUUCAAGCCAUAGCAGGCAGCACGUCUCAGUGGAAAAGCUCUGUAAAGCCCACUGUAAACUACAAAACACCAAAAAGAUGACAGACUCGGUUAGUGGCUGGCAUGGGAACACUGAAACAUCUCCAACUUAAAAGCCCAAUAUUUGUUUUUCUCUGGAGUUAGUGAGGGAUGAAACAGGGGUGAAAUAAGAGUUAUUCAUUCAUCUCUUCAACACAGACAUAACAGAGACUGUGGAUGUUACCCCGAGUGUGCUUGGGCCUUGAAAUAAGCAUUGCUUUGUGGUGUUUACAGUGACUGACACAGUCCUCAGGUGGAUAGAUCGAUAUAUUACAUUUGCGAUUCUCUUUAAUAAAUAUAAUCUCGGUUUGCAGUUUUCUUACUCUGAGUCAGAGUCGAUAAUGUGAAAAAAGGCCUCCUCUAUUUUGCUUUAGAUCCAGGUUUUGGCCCUACCCGGGUAGAAUAACACUGCCUUCAGAACCUACUAUGAAACACUUUGGUCGGGAAAGCCACAUCACUGCCUUGGCAGAGCUUCUCAGGUUGAUAUACAGCUGAAUUUUUGCUGUAUUCUUGGACUUCUUUUUCAAGAUAACCAGGUGAAAAAUGUGUGUCAAAAUCAUCCCAGAGACAGCAUACUUGACAUGGAUUAGCUUUAAAAGAAAAAAAAAAAAAAAACUGAAACUACCAAAGGUUAUCCUCAUUCAGCCUCCACUGAGGCCCAGUCAAUAACCAUUUUCAGUAGGAAGACAUCAAUAUGUAGUUAGAGGAUGUGAUGGAGUCAGCAUGGGGCUGGGGACCUACUGGGUUUGGAUGGAAACUCAUCUGGAUUUACUUGUAGUUGCACUAUUCAGUGUCUGACGCAAGACACCAGACCUAUUUCCUGUUACUCAUCUCCAUCAACUCACUUUCCCCUUGUGUUCCUUUCAUGGCUUCUCUGUCUCUGCUUGUCCUUUUAUUCAUACUCCUCGUACACCCUUUCCUGAGUGUGUAUACAAUAGGGACACAAACUGGGCCCAUUUUUUUCGCGAACUUGGCUAUAUUUCUCAGACUAGCUCAGGGUUGUUGCAGACAAAGAAAAGGUCAAGGUAAAAAUAACUGUGAAGGAUAUUAAGUAUGCCCAUAGAUUUCCGAGUAUUUCGGACGUCUUUAUAUGUACAACCCAAGUGUCUCCUGGUGUAAGAUUACCCUGAGGUGUUAUAGGUCAAUCUGCAGAGCACAAGAGUAACCUCUCUUCCCCUGACUGUGAAUGCAGUCUCAGUGCUAGCUUGACACUGCUGCACUGAUAUCAAGAGAUGGGAGUUUUUUUUUUUUUUUUUCCUUAAAGCUUCCUCACAUAUCUGUUUGCACAAAAAAGUUACCCAAGGCUGGAGCACAACAAUGGCAGACAUACUGUAGUGUCAAAUAUCUACUUUAAGAGUACAUCCACCGGGCAUACUGUAAACCAUAUUCAGGUUCUUAUUAUAAUAUGUACUAUUUUAUUUUUAUUUAUUUACUUAUUUAUUUUAUAAAUAUAUAUAUUUUUUCAUUUGAUUAGAUUUUUUUAUCUAUUUUUGCUUUAUUUUUUAUCUCAUGUUUAUAAUUUCAACAUGUUUAUAUUGAUAUUAUUUAUACUUAUAUUUAUAUGGUGGGGGGAUGGCAGGGGGAAUAGGGAGGAAAAGUUUUCUCUGUUCCAUGUAAAAUAAAUAAAAAAGCAGGCUUACUGUUUGGUCUGCUGUAAUUUGCGAACAAAAACUAAUAAAAAAAAAGGACAGCCACGGUUCAGCUCUAUUUAGCUAAUAAAGCUCCUGUGAGGAACUUGAGGUUUCUGUCAGUGUUGCUUACCUUGUCCUCUAUAUGAUAAAACAAAGGAAAAAUCAAAAGGAUCACUUAUUGUAAAUCUUUUAUGUAGAAAACAUUAAAAAGUCAGUUUGUUCUGCUGCUUGACUGACAUGUACCUUCUUGUAUCGGUUUCAUACGUUAGAAUUAAGAAAACAAAAACUGUCACUCUUGUCACAGAUGGUCUAGUCUUCUUCUCAACGGAAUAAAAAGGCAUCACUUUGAAUUUUUGGCCUAUUUCAAGUGGCUUUAUUCAGCUUUAACUCAGGGUGACAUUAUGCCAGUUGUGAUUUCUGCAGAAAUGUACAAGUAAUUAAGUAAAUUUAGUUAAUUUUUAACAAUUCUAUGACAAUUUAAUCUUACAGACUUAAUCUCUUAACAGCAUGGGAGCUUUUUAGCUUUUUAGUGGGUGUGUAUGUGAGUUUCUAUACUUCUAUAGCCAACCUCAAGCAGACUCCUCUGGGGGUUGAUCUUUCAGUCAUGAUAGGUGGUCUGAAAAAGAAAUCCUUCUCUUCAGGUUUUCUGAUUUCAUAAAGGUUACUAGGGAACUAAACAGAGGCCAAUUUUAAGAGAUCUAAAGCAGAACUGAAAGCCAAGAACGGCAAGCUAAUGUUUAAAUGGUCAUGUGACCAGUAAUUGAUUUGUUUUACUAAGACAGACACUUUAACACUGCACCUUUUAUUCAGAAUCCACAUCUCCUCUAGAUGUUUUUAAGUAAAAUCCCUUUAGGCUUUGUUUUAGGGCAAUUUAUGUCCUACAUAUUCUCUUAUUUGCCAGUGUACUCUGUCCAUUGCAUUAAAAUCUCUCCCACACCGCCAGAGCACGGUGAUGAGUGUCUCUUCGGUGCGUCACCGCAGGCACAGUCAGGAACCAUCGUAUAAGUGAUACAGCCCUUUUCUUUUUAGUAGAAGUCCAAGGAAAUAAAUAUAAACCUGGUGGCCACAGAGGAGGGUUUUGUUUCUUGACUCAGUGUUAAAAAACAUUCCUUUAUACUGCCACUUUUAUUCGUGUUUAAAUCAGCAGAACCAGCACAGCAGCAAUGCAUUGUGGGAGAGGCAAGAUUAUCCAACUAAGAUAAGGAACAGUGGCGUUUUUGAUGACUUGAUGUAAUGAUCCAAACAAACUAUAUUUAUGCAAACUGUAUAGGUGAGAGAGAGGGUCACACCAGCAUUAAAAGUAAGUGAUGAAGAUCUUGGGAUCAAAACAUGAUCGAAACACAAUGCAAAACUUGGGAUGUGAAAAAAGCUGCUACAUUAAAAGUCAAUCCACAAUGCUGCUAAAGAUCAUGUACUACAGUCAAACAGCAGUUUCAGCACCGCAGAAAGGUUAACAGCUCCCUCAGGGCACAUACACACAUGGGCCCUCAUUUAUCAAUCUUGCGUAGAACUGAGCGCAGGAUUCAUCGUACAAUAGGACAUACAUGAGAUUCAUGAAAGGGUUCAUAUCUGACCAAUCCCAGCGUACGUAUGAUCGGGUCUUGAUAAAAGUGGCAGCUGAAAUCGAUCGUCAAUAACAUGUUUACGCCCUGAAAUAUUUAUGGUUCAGAAGCCUCGCCCACUUAGGUCAAACAUGAAAGAGGAGAAAUAUUAGAACGUUUUCCGAGCUGAAAGUGGAUAUCCUCGCAUCUGUGGUGGAAACUAACAAGGCUUUUCUCUUUGGAAGCAUCAAAACUGGAAUUAAAGCAGUCCAGAAAACUCCCGUCUGGAGCAGGAUUAUGGUGGCGGUGAACAGCGCCAACAGAAUAGUGGACAGUGGCUGAAGUUUGAAUAAAUUAUUAUUCAAUAAGUUGCUCAUGAGGAUAAAUUAAUAUCUCAUACAUGCCUCAUAUUUUUUAUUGACAUCACAUAGGGUAUGUUGCUCCUGUUAUUGAAAGUAUUUAGUUUUAAUUUGUUGCGUCUUUGUUAUGUAGAGCAGACUGGAGAGUCUGACAGAGGCUGAGCAAAAAAAUUAUUAACGUCACUAAACGGUGUGUUGCUGCCCCAGAGGCACAUUUUUAUGGAUUUCUAUUGGAUUUUUAUCUCUGAUUAAAUAGCAAGAGCACUUUCUUAACUUAUACUUUAUAUUUCAGAAUCCAUGGAUAAGAUCCUGUCUCCUCUGUACAGCACCUUUGUGGAGUCUCUCCUUGUUAUUGUUUUCCAGGCAUCGGGUCCUCACGUUGCACCGGCACAGCCAACGGCACUCCAUUCUCCAGUGCACCAUUGUGCAAAACUGUACUGGCCCAAAUGAUGUCCCACACCCUUUCAGGAGUGUACAACAACGUCCCCACUGCUGGACCAAGACAGAGCUACCUGCCUUUGAGGAGUCAAACGCAGCGCUCCACAGUGGCACGUGUGUGCAUAAUGUUGAAACAGCGCUCCUGCUCUGUGGCAGUGUUUCUGAGCAG